GUGUCAGCAGCCGCGGUAAUACGUAGGCAGCGAGCGUUGUUCGGAGUUACUGGGCGUAAAGGGUGCGUAGGCGGUCCUUUAAGUUUGGUGUGAAAUCUCCCGGCUUAACCGGGAGGGUGCGCCGGAUACUGAGGGACUAGAGUGCGGGAGGGGAGAGUAGAAUUCCCGGUGUAGCGGUGAAAUGCGUAGAUAUCGGGAGGAAUACCGGUGGUGUAAACGGCUCUCUGGACCGUAACUGACGCUGAGGCACGAAAGCGUGGGUAGCAAACAGGAUUAGAAACCCGUGUAGUCC
RNAcentral lists this ribosomal RNA (292 nucleotides) under uncultured bacterium. Its description in RNAcentral is "partial 16S ribosomal RNA". It matches the Rfam family "Bacterial small subunit ribosomal RNA", at positions 505 to 796 of the family's 1533-position model. The record is from RNAcentral.